This 245-nucleotide ribosomal RNA is filed under the name uncultured bacterium. Its description in RNAcentral is "partial 16S ribosomal RNA". It matches the Rfam family "Bacterial small subunit ribosomal RNA", at positions 524 to 768 of the family's 1533-position model. The record is from RNAcentral.
UACAGAGGGUGCAAGCGUUGCUCGGAAUUAUUGGGCGUAAAGGGCAGGUAGGUGGUCUCAUUUGUCUGGGGUGAAAUCCUUGGGCUUAACCCAAGAAGUGCCCCAGAAGCGGUGAGACUGGAGUCCUGGAGAGGGUCGUGGAAUUCCCGGUGUAGCGGUGAAAUGCGUAGAGAUCGGGAGGAACACCAGAGGCGAAGGCGGCGACCUGGACAGGUACUGACACUCAACUGCGAAAGCGUGAGGAG